Maniola jurtina (meadow brown) is the source of this 167-nucleotide long non-coding RNA. RefSeq lists it as uncharacterized. The record is from RefSeq and is a predicted model, not a curated record. The transcript is spliced from 4 exons. Lineage: Eukaryota; Metazoa; Arthropoda; Insecta; Lepidoptera; Nymphalidae.
AAGACUUACGCUAAAAUUGUAGUUCUAAAUUUUAAACUUGUAUUCAAUUAUGUGGAAGUCUUUCCUAUGAUGGUUAAUUUGAAGCUCGAAAACUUUCUGCUGUCAGUUCUACGUCAAACCAUACGACGCCAGCGACGCCAUAUUGAAAAUCUAACAUAAUAAUAAUG